UACGUAGGUGGCAAGCGUUAUCCGGAUUUAUUGGGCGUAAAGGGAACGCAGGCGGUCUUUUAAGUCUGAUGUGAAAGCCUUCGGCUUAACCGGAGUAGUGCAUUGGAAACUGGGAGACUUGAGUGCAGAAGAGGAGAGUGGAACUCCAUGUGUAGCGGUGAAAUGCGUAGAUAUAUGGAAGAACACCAGUGGCGAAAGCGGCUCUCUGGUCUGUAACUGACGCUGAGGUUCGAAAGCGUGGGUAGAAAACAGG
RNAcentral lists this ribosomal RNA (253 nucleotides) under uncultured bacterium. Its description in RNAcentral is "partial 16S ribosomal RNA". It matches the Rfam family "Bacterial small subunit ribosomal RNA", at positions 524 to 776 of the family's 1533-position model. The record is from RNAcentral.